GACGAACGCUGGCGGCGUGCUUAACACAUGCAAGUCGAACGGAAAGGCCCUGCUUUUGUGGGGUGCUCGAGUGGCGAACGGGUGAGUAACACGUGUGUAACCUGCCCUUGACUUUGGGGUAACUUCAGGAAACUGGGGCUAAUACCGUAUAGCAGCUCCUGCUGCAUGGUGGGGGUUGGAAAGUUUCGGCGGUUGGGGAUGGACUGGCGGCUUAUCAGCUUGUUGGUGGGGUAGUGGUUUACCAAGGCUUUGACGGGUAGCCGGCCUGAGAGGGUGACCGGCGACAUGGGGACUGAGAUACGGCCCAGUCGCUUACGGGAGGCAGCAGUGGGGAGCAUUGCACAGUGGUCGGAAGCCUGAUGCAGCAACGCCGCGUGUGGGAUGCCGGCCUUCGGGUUGAAAACCGCUUUCGCCUGUGACGAAGCGUGAGUGACGGUAAUGGGUAAAGAAGCACCGGCUAACUACGUG
This 468-nucleotide ribosomal RNA is filed under the name uncultured bacterium. RNAcentral's name for it is "partial 16S ribosomal RNA". It matches the Rfam family "Bacterial small subunit ribosomal RNA", at positions 28 to 507 of the family's 1533-position model. The record is from RNAcentral.